GUUAAGGUGGCAGAGCCCGGUAAUUGCAAAAGACCUAAGCCCUUUCUACCAGAGGUUCAACUCCUCUUCUUAACU
RNAcentral lists this transfer RNA (75 nucleotides) under Paramesotriton aurantius. Its description in RNAcentral is "tRNA-Leu". It matches the Rfam family "tRNA". From Rfam's summary of the family: Transfer RNA (tRNA) molecules are approximately 80 nucleotides in length. Their secondary structure includes four short double-helical elements and three loops (D, anti-codon, and T loops). Lineage: Eukaryota; Metazoa; Chordata; Amphibia; Caudata; Salamandridae. The record is from RNAcentral.